Molecule: long non-coding RNA, 432 nt
Filed under: Pan troglodytes (chimpanzee)
Lineage: Eukaryota; Metazoa; Chordata; Mammalia; Primates; Hominidae
Description: lncRNA (ENSPTRG00000053438.1)
Source: RNAcentral
AACACACAACGGAAAUCUUCGUCCCGCCCACUCCCUCUCCAUCCCUCAGACUCUUCUGGAGCGGUGUCAUUGGCUGUGCCCUCUGCCUGUCUCCAGGGUCUUCAUGAAUCACCAGUCUCAGAAAAGCAGUCAAGCCCUUCGAAGAGCAGACACCUGCCCACACGCGCUGCCUCCACCUCCCCACCUUGGAGUCACCUUCCACUCCUCCCAUUUGGUUAGCUUCAGUUUGUCAGAACCAGUUGGGAUGCAACAGGAUUUUCAGUUUUGCUGUCUUCCAUGCAUGAAUGGCUGUUGGAAUGACCAAGAUGAUUUUUCCACCCAUUCUUGGGACCUGGACUAUGAUGGCCACAGCAGCUAAAGAUGCCAGGUAUCUAUCUCAACAUAGCCUCUCCACGUGGCUAGCUUGAGCUUCCUCACAGUAUGGCAGUCUCA